RNAcentral lists this ribosomal RNA (253 nucleotides) under uncultured bacterium. Its description in RNAcentral is "partial 16S ribosomal RNA". It matches the Rfam family "Bacterial small subunit ribosomal RNA", at positions 524 to 776 of the family's 1533-position model. The record is from RNAcentral.
UACGUAGGGUGCAAGCGUGUCCGGAAUUAUUGGGCGUAAAGAGCUCGUAGGCGGUUUGUUGCGUCGGCUGUGAAAUCCCGAGGCUCAACCUCGGGUCUGCAGUCGAUACGAGCAAACUAGAGUGUUGCAGGGGAGACUGGAAUUCCUGGUGUAGCGGUGAAAUGCGCAGAUAUCAGGAGGAACACCAAUAGCGAAGGCAGCUCGCUGGGACGUUACUGACACUGAGGCGCGAAAGCGUGGGGGAGCGAACAGG